GCGAUCAUUAUCACAUGUAUCGUGGAAAAUAUUCUAUGAACGGUAUAGUUUCUUAUUUCCAGGAAACAAAUGUAAUUAUGUAUUGUUUUUAGUCGAUGACAUCCAUUUUUAUCGAUAUAUAUGUGAUAUUAUUGCUAUACUUCGUGCACAGCGGCUGAUUGUGUUUUAAAUAUUGUAUGAUAUUCGUUUAUGAUAUUUGGCGUCUACAGGCAUUUAUUUGUAAUUCAUUUGUUUAAUCAAUAACGCGAUAGCUUGAUGUCUUCGUACGUUUAAAGAGUAAUAAGAUUAUGAAAGAUUUCUAGAAAUGGAGUGAUAUUAAGGGAAAAAGAAAUAUGGACGAAUUUUUAGAAGACGAUAAGAAUUCAUACGAACAUGAAGAGAAUAUGAGUCUUAUUCACGAUACGGACAUAUCACUGAAUUUUGAUUUAUGUGCUCCAGAGUUUCGGCAUCAAAUUAAUAAUGCCAAAUCUGAUAUUCUCAUGCCUCGGCUUUGUCACAAAAUUUCCAUGUCUUAUCAAAAGGGUAAAGAAGAGAUACCAUUUCAUAUUCCUCACAAGAAAUUGCUCGAGAAAAUCGAAUAUAAACGAGAAAUCCCUGAACCG
Molecule: long non-coding RNA, 602 nt
Organism: Cephus cinctus (wheat stem sawfly)
Lineage: Eukaryota; Metazoa; Arthropoda; Insecta; Hymenoptera; Cephidae
Exons: 5
Source: RefSeq, a predicted model, not a curated record